This 514-nucleotide ribosomal RNA is filed under the name Nototriton vereh. RNAcentral's name for it is "partial large subunit ribosomal RNA". It matches the Rfam family "Bacterial large subunit ribosomal RNA", at positions 1816 to 2597 of the family's 2925-position model. Lineage: Eukaryota; Metazoa; Chordata; Amphibia; Caudata; Plethodontidae. The record is from RNAcentral.
CGCCUUUUGAAUUUUUAACAUAAAAGGUCCUGCCUGCCCAGUGACUCUGUUCAACGGCCGCGGUAUUAUGACCGUGCAAAGGUAGCGUAAUCACUUGUCUUUUAAAUAAAGACCAGUAUGAACGGCAAAACGAGGGCCUAACUGUCUCACUAGACCAGUCAGUGAAAUUGAUUUUCCAGUGCAGAAGCUGGAAUAUUUAUAUAAGACGAGAAGACCCUGUGGAGCUUUAAGCCUAAGCUAAUAUAUACUAUAUUAUAGCACCAGGUUUUAGGUUGGGGCGACCAUAAGAAAAACAAACUCUUAAGACAUUAACAAGAAGGACACUUCAAACAAAUAGUAAUACUAAUACAUUGACCCAAUAUUUGAUCAACGAACCAAGUUACCCCAGGGAUAACAGCGCAAUCCACUCACAGAGCCCAUAUCGACGAGCGGGUUUACGACCUCGAUGUUGGAUCAGGACUACCUAAUGGUGCAGCAAUUAUUAAAGGUUCGUUUGUUCAACGAUUAAAGUCCU